CCAAAAGACAGCUCACGCUCAUAACACUUCAAAACGAACGAAGCUUGGACUGCUUGGUCGUUCUGUUCGAGGGUCAUCUAAUUAUAUCUCGUGCUAAUCAAGUCUGAAAUAUCGUAUUCCAGUCGUGUGGCUUCUUGGUUAGAGAUAGUCAUAUCUCAUUUCUACCACAAGGAAAUUGAACGGGAAAUUGAUGUAAAUAGCUGAAAACUAUAAUUGUUUCAAAGAACGGAGAUUUCAUUUUCAGGUGUAAUAUCUUUAUGGUAUUGGUAUAAAACUGGACCAGUAUAGAUU
This is a non-coding RNA of Paramuricea clavata, 291 nucleotides long. NCBI's taxonomy places the organism in Eukaryota, Metazoa, Cnidaria, Anthozoa, Malacalcyonacea, Plexauridae. The record is from the annotation of a GenBank genome assembly.